AUUGAACGCUGGCGGCAUGCCUUACACAUGCAAGUCGAACGGCAGCACGGGUGCUUGCACCUGGUGGCGAGUGGCGAACGGGUGAGUAAUAUAUCGGAACGUACCUUAUUGUGGGGGAUAACGCAGCGAAAGCUGUGCUAAUACCGCAUAAUCCCUAAGGGGGAAAGCGGGGGACCGUAAGGCCUCGCGCAAUUAGAGCGGCCGAUACCUGAUUAGCUAGUUGGUGAGGUAAAGGCUCACCAAGGCAACGAUCAGUAGCUGGUCUGAGAGGACGACCAGCCACACUGGAACUGAGACACGGUCCAGACUCCUACGGGAGGCAGCAGUGGGGAAUAUUGGGGCAAAUGGAGGAAACUCUGACCCAGCGACGCCGCGUGAGGGAUGAAGGCCUUCGGGUUGUAAACCUCUUUCAGUAGGGAAGAAGACGAAAGUGACGGUACCUACAAGAAGAAGCACCGGCUAAC
This 464-nucleotide ribosomal RNA is filed under the name uncultured bacterium. Its description in RNAcentral is "bacterial SSU rRNA". It matches the Rfam family "Bacterial small subunit ribosomal RNA", at positions 29 to 501 of the family's 1533-position model. The record is from RNAcentral.